This 460-nucleotide ribosomal RNA is filed under the name uncultured bacterium. RNAcentral's name for it is "partial 16S ribosomal RNA". It matches the Rfam family "Bacterial small subunit ribosomal RNA", at positions 338 to 795 of the family's 1533-position model. The record is from RNAcentral.
CCUACGGGAGGCAGCAGUGAGGAAUAUUGGUCAAUGGGCGUAAGCCUGAACCAGCCAAGUCGCGUGAGGGAUGAAGGUUCUAUGGAUCGUAAACCUCUUUUAUAAGGGAAUAAAGUGUGGGACGUGUCCUAUUUUGUAUGUACCUUAUGAAUAAGGAUCGGCUAACUCCGUGCCAGCAGCCGCGGUAAUCCGGAGGAUCCGAGCGUUAUCCGGAUUUAUUGGGUUUAAAGGGUGCGUAGGCGGGCUUGUAAGUCAGCGGUGAAAGUCUGUGGCUCAACCAUAGAACUGCCGUUGAAACUGGGGGGCUUGAGUAGGUGUGAGGCAGGCGGAAUGCGUGGUGUAGCGGUGAAAUGCUUAGAUAUCACGCAGAACCCCGAUUGCGAAGGCAGCCUGCCAGGCCAUGACUGACGCUGAUGCACGAAAGCGUGGGGAUCAAACAGGAUUAGAUACCCCUGUAGUC